Molecule: long non-coding RNA, 591 nt
Organism: Dreissena polymorpha
Lineage: Eukaryota; Metazoa; Mollusca; Bivalvia; Myida; Dreissenidae
Exons: 3
Source: RefSeq, a predicted model, not a curated record
ACUUCCUGUCUUGCUUGGGGUCGAUGACUUAAAGGCCGGUGUAGGUUAUCGUGUGACUGGGAAUCGGUUAACGACAAUCCGCAAGACAAGCAGAGAAUGCGUCGCUCAUUAUUGCUGACAGUGAGCACGGCACUGUGUGCUGCAUUGGCUCUAGGGAUGCCAUAUCCGGUGGACGACUGGGAGUUCUACGGCGGCAAGAAAGAGUUUCCGGUGUUUGAAGAGGUGAAAGUGAUCAACAAUUUUUAUCCCGUACUCUUCGCAAUCCUAGCACUACCAUUUAUCCUGAGACGCCCGAGCACCGUUGCUCGCGCCAGUAACGCGACUCUCGCGGCCAACGGUAUUACUGUCAUCCGGGAACCAGUUUGCUGCUGAUGGCAGAUUCAGACGAUACUUCUGCAGACACCAUUUGUUUGCUGCCGUAUUCAGGGCCGCCGAAUAUGUAUCCUUGUACUGCUAUACGAUUAGUUAAUAUAUGAGAAAACCUGUUCAGGUAAAUAAAAGAGCAACUUAAGCACGUUUGUCGUUUUGCACCGGAUAUUCGCAUAUUAAUUUACAACAUUUAGAUUUCUGUUUUUCAAUGAAUAGAUAAAA